AUUGGGGACCAUCUGGAGAGGUGGCAGAGCGGUUGAAUGUACCUGACUCGAAAUCAGGCAGGCGUUUAUAGCGCCUCGGGGGUUCGAAUCCCCCCCUCUCCGCCAAAUGACGCAAAAAUCCCCGCAUAAAACGGGGUUUUUGU
RNAcentral lists this small RNA (143 nucleotides) under Xanthomonas oryzae pv. oryzae KACC 10331. Its description in RNAcentral is "Xanthomonas oryzae pv. oryzae KACC10331 Proteobacterial sRNA sX4". It matches the Rfam family "Proteobacterial sRNA sX4". The record is from Rfam by way of RNAcentral. Lineage: Bacteria; Pseudomonadati; Pseudomonadota; Gammaproteobacteria; Lysobacterales; Lysobacteraceae.